GAUGAAGAACGUAGCGAAAUGCGAUAAGUAAUGUGAAUUGCAGAAUUCAGUGAAUCAUCGAAUCUUUGAACGCACAUUGCGCCCGCCAGUAUUCUGGCGGGCAUGCCUGUUCGAGCGUCAUUUCAACCCUCAAGCCCAGCUUGGUGUUGGGGAUCGGCACAGGCGCCCUCGGGCGCCCGCCGUCCCCUAAAUCUAGUGGCGGUCCCGCUGCAGCCUCCUCUGCGUAGUAGUUUUCUCCUCGCAAGGGCAGCUCGGUGGCGACCUCGCCGUAAAACCCCCAACUUCUGAAAAGUUGACCUCGAAUCAGGUAGGAAUACCCGCUGAACUUAAGCAUAUCAAUAAGCGGAGGA
Molecule: unclassified non-coding RNA, 350 nt
Filed under: soil metagenome
Description: partial contains 5.8S ribosomal RNA, internal transcribed spacer 2, and large subunit ribosomal RNA
Rfam family: 5.8S ribosomal RNA (bases 1-120)
Source: RNAcentral